GCUCGUGUAGCUCAGUGGUUAGAGCUUCGUGCUUAUAGCACGCGACCGUCGUGGGUUCAAACCCCACCUCGAGCA
Molecule: transfer RNA, 75 nt
Filed under: Nakaseomyces glabratus
Lineage: Eukaryota; Fungi; Ascomycota; Saccharomycetes; Saccharomycetales; Saccharomycetaceae
Description: [Candida] glabrata transfer RNA-Ile
Rfam family: tRNA
About the family: Transfer RNA (tRNA) molecules are approximately 80 nucleotides in length.
Source: RNAcentral